ACGGGAGGCAGCAGUGGGGGAUAUUGCACAAUGGGGGAAACCCUGAUGCAGCGACGCCGCGUGAGUGAUGAAGUAUUUCGGUAUGUAAAGCUCUAUCAGCAGGGAGGAAAAUGACGGUACCUGACUAAGAAGCACCGGCUAAAUACGUGCCAGCAGCCGCGGUAAUACGUAUGGUGCAAGCGUUAUCCGGAUUUACUGGGUGUAAAGGGAGCGUAGACGGCAUAGCAAGCCAGAUGUGAAAGGUGGGGGCUCAACCCCCAAGCUGCAUUUGGAACUGUUAAGCUAGAGUAUCGGAGAGGUAAGUGGAAUUCCUAGUGUAGCGGUGAAAUGCGUAGAUAUUAGGAGGAACACCGGCGGCGAAGGCGGCUUACUGGACUGUAACUGACGUUGAGGCUCGAAAGCGUGGGGAGCAAACAGGAUUAGAUACCCUGGUA
Molecule: ribosomal RNA, 434 nt
Filed under: uncultured Lachnospiraceae bacterium
Lineage: Bacteria; Bacillati; Bacillota; Clostridia; Lachnospirales; Lachnospiraceae
Description: bacterial SSU rRNA
Rfam family: Bacterial small subunit ribosomal RNA
Source: RNAcentral